This 161-nucleotide small RNA is filed under the name Olea europaea subsp. europaea. The record is from RNAcentral. Lineage: Eukaryota; Viridiplantae; Streptophyta; Magnoliopsida; Lamiales; Oleaceae.
UUUGCGACGUUUAUUAAAUGUUGCGAAAUUUUUUUUUUUCGCAACGUUUGAUAAACGUUGCGAAAAGUUAAUCUUUUGCAACGUUUUUUAAACGUUGCGAAAAGUUAAUCUUUCGCAACAUUUAAAAAACGUUGCGAAAAGGAAACCGAGUUAAACUGACU